RNAcentral lists this ribosomal RNA (277 nucleotides) under uncultured bacterium. RNAcentral describes it as "partial 16S ribosomal RNA". It matches the Rfam family "Bacterial small subunit ribosomal RNA", at positions 28 to 321 of the family's 1533-position model. The record is from RNAcentral.
AGCGAACGCUGGCGGCAUGCUUAACACAUGCAAGUCGCACGGGGGGCUUUCGGGCCUUUAGUGGCGGACGGGUGAGGAUCGCGUGGGAACAUAUCGUGAGGUGGGGGACAACCGCGGGAAACUGCGGCUAAUACCGCAUGGGGCCUGAGGGCCAAAGGCAGGGAGACUUGUCGCCUUAUGAGUGGCCUGCGUCCGAUUAGCUGGUUGGUGGGGUAAUGGCCUACCAAGGCUGCGAUCGGUAGCUGGUCUGAGAGGAUGAUCAGCCACACUGGGACUG